AAUAUUUUGUAUUCGUUAAUCGUUAGAUUAGACCUAAUAACUAAGAAUCAAUAUAUUUUAUAAUAAUUUUAAAAAAUAUUUAAUAUUUUAAAUAUUAGUAGGUAAAUUUGAGAUAACUUUUAUAUAUUCACCUUUAAAAAAAUAUGAUUAAAUAUUAUAUAUGUUAAUAUUUUUUAUAAUAAUUUAAAUAAAAUAUUCAAAAUUUUAAAUAUUAGUAGGUAAAUUUGAGAUAACUUUUAUAUAUUUUGCUUUAAAAAUAUAUGAUUUAAUAUUAUAUAUGCGGAAGGUAUUAUGUGAUUGGAUAUUAUAUAGGUGGUGGAUAUUAUGUGUGAGAAAAAAAAUUAAGAUAUGCGAAUAUUAUUUGUGAUAAAAUAUGAUAUUAUGUGGGCGACGGUUAUUAGAAGAUAUGACAUGCAUAUAAAAAGUGAAAUUUGAUACGUACUAUUUGAAAGCAAUUUAGAUAAAAAAAGUGACAAAUAUUUUGUAUUCGUCAGUCAAUUAGAUUUAUUGACUAAGAAUUAAUAUAUUUUAUAAUAAUUUAAAUAAAAUAUCUAAUAUUUUAAAUUUGAGAUAACUUUUAUAUAUUCUGCUUUUAAAAAAUAUGAUUAAAUAUUAUAUAUGUUAAUAUAUUUUAUAAUGUUUUAAAUAAAAUAUCCAAUAUUUUAAAUAUUAGUAGGUAAAUUUGAGAUAACUUUUAUAUAUUUUGUUUUAAAAAAAUAUGAUUAAAUAUUAUAUAUGCGGAAGAUAUUAUAUUAAUAGGGACCGGUAUUUUGGGAAAGAGGAAAAAAUUCAAAACUAUCAUUUUUAUAAAUAGUAUAGAUCAGCAGUUAACUGAAAAUAAUGUAUAAACAUUCAAAAGAUAUAUCUAUAAUUAUAAACACAUACUUGUUAUCCUCAAGUAGUAUCGUAAUCUUUUUUAUUUCUUUACCGUCCUUCCAGUUUUCUUCCAUUCUACUAAUUCCAGUAAGCUUCCCGAUGACAUCUGAGAUAAUAUAAUAAUAAAAUGUAAGAAUCAAUAUAAUAGAUAGACAUAUUAAAAAUUAAAUUUUAAAAAUUAAAUAUUUAAUGCAUAUACUAACUCUUACCUACUAAAUAUUUGUUAUCAGCGACAUUACCAAGUAUUUCAUCAAAAGGGGUAAAUAUAAAUCCAUACUUUGAUAUGGUCAAAACAUUUUCUAUCACACGUACAACCGUAGAAUAUUGAAAAUUGAUUUUGUAAGGAUGAUUAGUGGUCCUGUAGGAGCCGCUGCUCUGCCCCACUCCAAACUGGUUGAUCACAUAAACUUUUCCUUCCGUAAAAAGGCCUUUAAAUUUAUUCAGAAAAGCUUUUCUUAUCGUUGCAUGUGUUCUAUCUCCCUAAAAUAGAAAAUAAACAAAUUAUAUAGUAUAUUUUAGAAAAAAAAUAAAGCAAAUGUAUGUUAAAUUUGAAAAUAAAAUCGUAUCUUACAUUUUGAGUUUGACUGUUAAUUAUCUGCCAAUACAAAAUUUGAGUUUGACUGUUAGAUUAUUGAUUUCGGAACCAAUAAUUUUAAAUAAUUAAUUAUCUGCCAAUACGAAAUUUGAGUUUGACCCUUUUUUUCGCAACUAACCAUUUCAAAUAAUUCGCAACAGAUUAUUGCUUAUUUCGCAACCAAUAAUUUUAAAUAAUUAAUUAUCUGCCAAUACGAAAUUUGAGUUUGACCCUUUUUUUCGCAACUAACCAUUUCAAAUAAUUCGCAACACUUUGAUACGGUCAAAACAUUUUCUAUCUCACGUACAACCGUAGAAUAUUGAAAAUUGAUUUUGUAAGGAUGAUUAGUGGUCCUGUAGGAGCCGCUGCUCUGCCCCACUCCAAACUGGUUGAUCACAUAAACUUUUCCUUCCGUAAAAAGGCCUUUAAAUUUAUUUAGAAAAGCUUUUCUUAUCGUUGCAUGUGUUCU
This 1919-nucleotide long non-coding RNA is filed under the name Ananas comosus (pineapple). Its description in RNAcentral is "long non-coding RNA (ACOM_LNC036443)". Lineage: Eukaryota; Viridiplantae; Streptophyta; Magnoliopsida; Poales; Bromeliaceae. The record is from RNAcentral.